CAAAAGUUAUCCCUAACUACAAAGACACAUCACUGCCUCAGGCUGAUGCAAAAGACACUAUUGUCAGAUUGCUCUGAGAAAUCUGGACCUGCCUCUAUCCUCACUGUCUGAAUACUUGUUUCAAAAGAGCAGCCUCAUCACUGCCUACCAGAAGUAUGACUGGCUGGUCUCCCACUGCUGUUUCUUAGCAUGAGUAAGAAAUCCCACUACAUGCUGUUUUCAGCCUGUCUAAAUGUUUAUUUUCUGCUUUAGCUGCAAAUCUUACACUUCUUUCUCCAGUUUUUUUUCCAUUGUGUUAAAAUACUGAGUAAGUGCUCUGGUCUACACUAGGUCACACAUUCUUUUUAAAGAUUGUUGUUGGAGACCUUGUACUUGCUAGUCUUAUGUAACAUGAUGAAGUUUUUCAGAGAAAUAAAUUGAGCGAAAAUAUCAUUUAGUAUAGCUUAACGCAGGUCCAAAGACUGAGGAAAAUCACACCAUGAAAAAAUAAAAGUAAAAAUUAAAAAGGCACACCUUUUUCUUUUUCCUUUUUCUGUUCUACAGCAUUAUACAGAACGUGGCUUUGUCCAGGCACUCCCCUACUCAAUUAUUUCAGUGGACCUACAUUGCCUACUGAGAAAAGGAGAAAUACUGUGUCCUGUGUGCUGAUGACAAGUUAGCGACUUUGUACAAUUGAUUUAGUCCUCAGAAACCUGCUACUCUACUUUCCCAAUAGUGCAUGUAGCCAUAAAUGGACAAGUUUGGCUUUCUAUACCCUUUGCAGCAUUAAGCUCAUAUCCCUCUAUGCCUUCAUGGACUCCACCUCCUAGCCACAGUCAUCCACUUUGGUUUCUAUGUUUUUCUCAUCAUUGAGAGUUUGCUCAUGUGGUUCCUCCCUGCACCCCCUCCCAAAAAUGCCCUUCUCCUUGUAUUUCACCUUCAGAUCCUAAGAUUCUAGCACUCCCUUAUUCAUGCAGCUUCCUGUUAUCUCUCUGUUGUGCUCCAAGCUGCUACUCCAAGCACAUUCUGAUCGCUCCCUCCUCUGAAUGGCUAAUGGCCAAAAUAAGAUUAUUCAGAAAAUCGAUUCUACAAACCCUUCAAUUUUUGGUUUCUUCCAUCGCUCUUAAG
This is a long non-coding RNA of Papio anubis (olive baboon), 1107 nucleotides long. The record is from Ensembl. NCBI's taxonomy places the organism in Eukaryota, Metazoa, Chordata, Mammalia, Primates, Cercopithecidae.